UUAAAUUAAAAAUUGUAAUUUAAUUUUGCUCUCAAUGCAAAGAAUUAUAAAUAAAAAGAAAACCGUCACAAUCAAAUCAAAUGUUACUUUUCCUUGAAGAGUAAAUAAUAAGACCACAAGUUUAACAGGCAAACAUUAUUAACCCUUAUUCUUUAUGCAAAUAAUACUCCAAUGCUCCUCCUCUUUAUCACUCCACUCGGACUUGGAUUAAAGUUGUAUACCUGGGGCCUUUCUUAAACCCAGGCUUGACUGCUCCAGCUUAGGAGGCUCCACAAGAUGGGUACGCAGUGGAAACGCAACCCUGCAUUCGGGCCUAUACUUUUUGGAUCAACGGUUAUUUUGCACGCGGUGUGGUUUAAACAUCGAAGGUCGUCUAGAGCCAGAGCCCAAGCCGAGGUUUGAGAAAGGCCCUUGAUUUAGUUAUUCUUUUCAGCACAGUAGAGGAUAUUAAGAAGUAUUAAGUAGGGUAAGGGUUAAGCCAAAAGCCAAAAUUGUUUUGACACUUGUCAUCAAAUAAAAACAAUAACAAAGAAUGACAUCUUAACACAACUCUUUACACUAUAAAUAGAACUCUAUUUGAAUCUACACACACACAACGGGGACAGCUCUAUAUUUUGACACCCCUACACCAUGGAGGUAGGUUCUGACGUCCAGGUGUUUCGGAAACACCCUUGUGAUCCGGGUUUAGGAAAACACAUUUGGAGCAAGUCAAACAUGUCAUAAAGGUGUCAACACACAGGGGUCACUGUGUUUACUUCGACCUGGAUCUAAGCCAAACCACAGUGAUAGGAUUGCUGCACGAUAUGCAUAAGGAGCAACAAGAAACAUCUUGAACACAAGACUAAAUUUUGGUUGAUAAACGAUAUUCCAGUCUUACUUACUCCUUUUUUUUUUUUUUCAAAAAGGAAAUAUAUUUCAAACCAUCGAUUAACACUUAAAUCAACAUGGAAUAUACAUAACUAAAAUGCUCGAAAUGUGGCUGGAAGCAAAAACAGAUUGGCCCCUUUUUCUGUGAGAGUCGGUGCGUAUAUUUACAUUGCUAAGACUGGGUACCUGACAUAUAAAUAUACCCACUACAAGGCAACCACAAAUAAAGAUCUACACAUUUACAGUCAACACUCGUUGUAAAGAGGGUCUGCUUAUAAAGAGUACUUUCUAAAGUCCCAAAUCUCUUUUCUACUUGUGUGUUUUUUUGCUGUCCUCUAAUACAAGUACAGUGUAACAAUGUUAUAAAGAGGCAUUUUGGCUAGCCCAGUGUUCGUGUUAUUACAAGCUGUCCACUACUAUCACUGUUUUUACAAACAUGUACACAUUUCAAUUCAUUCCAAGUUACGAUCAUGCUUUAUACACACAUUUAAAAUAAACCCAAGUCCAGACCUAAAACUCUAUGGGUUAGGAAGCGAAGGCAAAAUAUCUCCAUGCCCCCAUGGGGCCUGGUGACUGAAAAUCUUCCAGCAAACUUGACGUUCAACAGUGCAAUACGUCGAGUAGGAAUAGGUGUUUGAUAUGGGACAUGAAAACUUGUAUGGAAUGUCACAAACACAAUGAACACAAAAAUGUGUACAAUGACUGAGUGCACUUGCUGUACAAGUCUUUGCUUUUAAAGUUAACAAUGGUUAAUGGGAAAAACAAAAGUAAGGAAAAACGUUUUUUAAAUGUCAACUUAAAAUCUGCAAGCGGACGGAGAGGCGCAAAAUGUGUUCAUAAACCC
This is a long non-coding RNA of Asterias rubens (European starfish), 1711 nucleotides long. RefSeq lists it as uncharacterized. Lineage: Eukaryota; Metazoa; Echinodermata; Asteroidea; Forcipulatida; Asteriidae. The record is from RefSeq and is a predicted model, not a curated record. The transcript has 2 exons.